This 1513-nucleotide long non-coding RNA is filed under the name Nicotiana tabacum (common tobacco). RNAcentral's name for it is "long non-coding RNA (NTAB_LNC012256)". The record is from RNAcentral. Lineage: Eukaryota; Viridiplantae; Streptophyta; Magnoliopsida; Solanales; Solanaceae.
UUCAAUUCCCACUCCCCCGUCUCUAACCUACACCUUAGCCGCCCCCAAAUGCUCUCACCCCUCACAGCCCAAACCCUAGCUGUCGCCCCGUUGGAAAUCAUUUCAUGGUGGCGGUCAGUAUCCAAACACCGCCAAACUCACACCCUACAAUCCCCUUCUCCUCCUCACCACUAAUCACCAAACAUCUCCCGUCAAAAACCCUUACAACUCCGUGAAUUUUGGAUCUAAGAAUCCUAAGAACACUGGGUCAUGCAUGUCCCUUCCUCAUCAUUCUUUUUUGAUUCGAUACUGUUGAGAUUCAUCCCAAACAGUUAGUUCUUGACAAGAACAACCAUUUGGGAUCGAUUUUAAGCUGUAUCAAAGCCAAACAUGAGGUUCGUUCCGUUCUUCCCUGUGUCUCAUUAGGUACUACCCUUUCCUUAUUUUCUUAUUUUUAUCUUCUUCUUUUUUACAUCUGUGUUCUGAUUCACGUCCAUGAAAACAAAAGAAAAGAAAAAAUGUGUUGUAAGACUACUAUCAUGUUAGGAUUUUAUUCAUCUCUCUGUUUUCUCUUGUUUUUGUUAAUUAUGUAGCAAUAUUAACUAAAUCAUAACUGUUUAGGAUAGAUUCUUUAUGUUGUUUUUCUUUUCUUGCUUUUGUUCUUCCUGUUCAUUCUUGUUUUGGUGUUUAGUUUGCAUGCUUUAGGUUAUUUACAAUAUUUUGUGUUUGAUUCGAAUGUCCCAUGCUAGUUCAUCCUUUAUUGUUUAUCUUUUAGAUUCAAUCUGAUUUAGUAAUAUUUUUGUUGUGGUUUGAGUAGUUUGUCAUUAGCUGUUUGAAUUAGAUUUCUGAUUAUUUAAAUCAGAGAUUCAUCAUGAAUUUGGUGCAUUUUAGGUUUAUUAUUUUUUAGUGUUCAGAUGUCUAAAAUUCAAUCACAUUGUCUAGCUUUGUUUGUUUUGAUUUGUCCAUUGACAUUGGCAUGCUCUUUUGUGUUUGCCCUAAUUUGUAAAUCAGUAGACACUUCUAGGGUUCAAAUAACAAAAAGAAAACUUAAGGGGUCAUGUGAGAGGUAGAUAAAUAUGAAAAUAGGAUAAGACCAUGUUAGAAGGUUCUCGAAUAUGGACAGUUGGCCCUAUUUGGCCAGCACAAAAUGCUGAAGCCAAUGAGGGACAGCCAGCUGUCCAAUUCUGUUAAAAGAUGUCUUUUGUGGCUGAAGAGAAUAAUUCCCUUAUUCUAUCAGCACAUGGCAUUUUUUGAUGCCCAUAAAUAAUACCUUUUCUUCACUCAUUAGGAUAGAUUUUCAGAACCCUAAAAAGCACUAAAAAGAUUCAGCUACUAUUUCAUUGGUUGUUGGUUCUAUUUUCCUUUGAUUUUUAGCAAAAACUUAGAAAAGUUUCCCUGAAAUUUCUGGUUUGAGUGUGGAUCAAGUUGAAGCUGUUACUGCUGUUGAUUGGCUAUUGUCUCCUAUUAAUGCCAUGGCUAUUGUAUCCAGGUAUUUUCACGAGCCUUGAAGCGAUAAAAAUGGAAUUGUAGCAUG